Molecule: ribosomal RNA, 435 nt
Filed under: Streptococcus mitis
Lineage: Bacteria; Bacillati; Bacillota; Bacilli; Lactobacillales; Streptococcaceae
Description: bacterial SSU rRNA
Rfam family: Bacterial small subunit ribosomal RNA
Source: RNAcentral
GACGAACGCUGGCGGCGUGCCUAAUACAUGCAAGUAGAACGCUGAAGGAGGAGCUUGCUUCUCUGGAUGAGUUGCGAACGGGUGAGUAACGCGUAGGUAACCUGCCUGGUAGCGGGGGAUAACUAUUGGAAACGAUAGCUAAUACCGCAUAAGAGUAGAUGUUGCAUGACAUAUGCUUAAAAGGUGCAAUUGCAUCACUACCAGAUGGACCUGCGUUGUAUUAGCUAGUUGGUGAGGUAACGGCUCACCAAGGCAACGAUACAUAGCCGACCUGAGAGGGUGAUCGGCCACACUGGGACUGAGACACGGCCCAGACUCCUACGGGAGGCAGCAGUAGGGAAUCUUCGGCAAUGGACGGAAGUCUGACCGAGCAACGCCGCGUGAGUGAAGAAGGUUUUCGGAUCGUAAAGCUUCUGUUUGUAAGAGGAAGAACGA